CCUACGGGUGGCAGCAGUGGGGAAUAUUGGACAAUGGGGGGAACCCUGAUCCAGCCAUGCCGCGUGUGUGAAGAAGGCCCUCGGGUUGUAAAGCACUUUCAGUGAGGAAGAACGCCUGGUGGUUAAUACCCAUCAGCAAAGACAUCACUCACAGAAGAAGCACCGGCUAACUCCGUGCCAGCAGCCGCGGUAAUACGGAGGGUGCGAGCGUUAAUCGGAAUUACUGGGCGUAAAGCGCGCGUAGGUGGCUUGAUAAGCCGGUUGUGAAAGCCCCGGGCUCAACCUGGGAACGGCAUCCGGAACUGUCAAGCUAGAGUGCAGGAGAGGAAGGUAGAAUUCCCGGUGUAGCGGUGAAAUGCGUAGAGAUCGGGAGGAAUACCAGUGGCGAAGGCGGCCUUCUGGACUGACACUGACACUGAGGUGCGAAAGCGUGGGUAGCAAACAGGAUUAGAUACCCUAGUAGUC
RNAcentral lists this ribosomal RNA (465 nucleotides) under Vreelandella stevensii. RNAcentral's name for it is "partial 16S ribosomal RNA". It matches the Rfam family "Bacterial small subunit ribosomal RNA", at positions 338 to 795 of the family's 1533-position model. The record is from RNAcentral. Lineage: Bacteria; Pseudomonadati; Pseudomonadota; Gammaproteobacteria; Oceanospirillales; Halomonadaceae.